UCGAGCGGACAGAUGGGAGCUUGCUCCCUGAUGUUAGCGGCGGACGGGUGAGUAACACGUGGGUAACCUGCCUGUAAGACUGGGAUAACUCCGGGAAACCGGGGCUAAUACCGGAUGCUUGUUUGAACCGCAUGGUUCAAACAUAAAAGGUGGCUUCGGCUACCACUUACAGAUGGACCCGCGGCGCAUUAGCUAGUUGGUGAGGUAAUGGCUCACCAAGGCAACGAUGCGUAGCCGACCUGAGAGGGUGAUCGGCCACACUGGGACUGAGACACGGCCCAGACUCCUACGGGAGGCAGCAGUAGGGAAUCUUCCGCAAUGGACGAAAGUCUGACGGAGCAACGCCGCGUGAGUGAUGAAGGUUUUCGGAUCGUAAAGCUCUGUUGUUAGGGAAGAACAAGUACCGUUCGAAUAGGGCGGUACCUUGACGGUACCUAACCAGAAAGCCACGGCUAACUACGUGCCAGCAGCCGCGGUAAUACGUAGGUGGCAAGCGUUGUCCGGAAUUAUUGGGCGUAAAGGGCUCGCAGGCGGUUCCUUAAGUCUGAUGUGAAAGCCCCCGGCUCAACCGGGGAGGGUCAUUGGAAACUGGGGAACUUGAGUGCAGAAGAGGAGAGUGGAAUUCCACGUGUAGCGGUGAAAUGCGUAGAGAUGUGGAGGAACACCAGUGGCGAAGGCGACUCUCUGGUCUGUAACUGACGCUGAGGAGCGAAAGCGUGGGGAGCGAACA
RNAcentral lists this ribosomal RNA (730 nucleotides) under Bacillus subtilis. Its description in RNAcentral is "bacterial SSU rRNA". It matches the Rfam family "Bacterial small subunit ribosomal RNA", at positions 62 to 774 of the family's 1533-position model. Lineage: Bacteria; Bacillati; Bacillota; Bacilli; Caryophanales; Bacillaceae. The record is from RNAcentral.